GCUUUGAAUUCACUACGGAUCUCAGACUGGCCUUGAACUUGUGGUGAUCCUCCUGCCUCCGCCCCUUGAGCUGGGAUCUCAGGCAGGGAAGAAUCUUCAGAACACCUCUAUGUGCAACGUUGACAGAGCCUUGGAGAUCAUCUCCACCGUUUUGACCCGGGACUGCGCUGGCUCCGGAAGUCUGUGGCAGAGCCUGCAGGACGGCGUGAUCCCGGCAGAGCGGCUGACAUCGCCACGUGACAGGACACAGACCUUCCUCCCUCCGCCACACAGACCUUCCCAGGCCCCUCUCCCGGGGAGGCUGCGCUGUCCUCAUCCGUGAGUGCGGAGUGAUGUGCUGUCUCUGGCGGCCCGGCCUGCUCAGAUCCAGCCUGGCUGACGUAAGGCAGUGAGCAGGGCUGUGCCUCUGGGGCAGGUGGCGGAGAAGCACACUUGGCUGAGGGUCCGGAGGUUGAUUCUAAACCGAUGGCAACGUUGUUCCUUCCCCUCUCUUCCUGGGGAGCCACCCAGCUCCCCUACACCCUCCUACCCCCACCCCCCAUCGCAAGCUGUGUCCUGCCCCAGGGCCGUGCUGUGGGCUGAGGCAGGCAGGGCCCGGCUACACUGCCAAAUGCCUGCCGUCCCUGCCUUCUGCCGCCGGCUUUGUGUCUCCAGCCACAGGAGCCACAGGACGAUCUCCCCCUUUUUAUCAUCCUCAGACCCAGAGCAGAGCCAGGUGAGAUACAGCGAACCCCUAAAGUGAAGACUCCUGUGGCAUCGCUUGGGGUCAGUGUUACGCCAUCCUCACCUCCCUGGCUUCAAACUCUCCGUCAACCCGCCCUUAACACAGGCACUUUCCUCCUGCCACCUCCUGUGUUGCCCGACUGCUUUUUAUCUGCAGGAUCUGCUGGUUCUGGACUUGUUACCGUAAGGGAAUUAUCAAGCAGGUGACUGAGGUGUCCAGAUUCUCUCCCGGCAGGUUCCGGGGCCAUCCACGCUGCGGUAUAAACUGUCCUUUGUCCCACCUUCCGGCCACACACUGUGCCACUGCAUCUGUCCUCCGUAGCUUGUCUGUCUACUCAGAGCGUCUGGGCUGUGUCUGCCUCCCGUCCGUCACGAGUAACGCAGCCAUGCGCAUUUCUGCGCAGGCUUCGGUGGAGACAAUGUUUUCAUUUUUCUUGGGGAUGGACUCAGAAAUGAAUUGUAAACAAUUCUGUGUUUAGCUUUCAAAGGGAUCGACCAGCUGUUUUCCAAAGCAGCGACCCUACUUUCCAUCCCUGCCAGGAACUGCGAGGGCCCUGUUCUGCCCUGCGUGCACACGGGUCCUUUCCUUCCCCACUUGCCUGCUGUGGUCACAGCCAUCUCGGCGCAGGGCAGCGUCUCUCUCUGGGUGCAGCUGGCAUCUCUUUGCUGACCAGCGAUGCCGGACACCUCACGCUCUCGCUGCCCGUCUCCCUCGGAGAAAUGUCUCUUCAGGUUCAUCGCCUGCAUUUCGAUCGGAUUCUCUUUUAGUUGUUGCCUUGCGAGAGUCCUUUAUUCUGGCUACUAAAUGUUUA
Molecule: long non-coding RNA, 1535 nt
Organism: Fukomys damarensis (Damara mole-rat)
Lineage: Eukaryota; Metazoa; Chordata; Mammalia; Rodentia; Bathyergidae
Exons: 3
Source: RefSeq, a predicted model, not a curated record